RNAcentral lists this ribosomal RNA (253 nucleotides) under uncultured bacterium. Its description in RNAcentral is "partial 16S ribosomal RNA". It matches the Rfam family "Bacterial small subunit ribosomal RNA", at positions 524 to 776 of the family's 1533-position model. The record is from RNAcentral.
UACGUAGGGCGCAAGCGUUAUCCGGACUUAUUGGGCGUAAAGAGCUCGUAGGCGGUUUGUCGCGUCUGCCGUGAAAGUCCGGGGCUCAACUCCGGAUCUGCGGUGGGUACGGGCAGACUAGAGUGAUGUAGGGGAGACUGGAAUUCCUGGUGUAGCGGUGAAAUGCGCAGAUAUCAGGAGGAACACCGAUGGCGAAGGCAGGUCUCUGGGCAUUAACUGACGCUGAGGAGCGAAAGCAUGGGGAGCGAACAGG